CUAAAUUUAAUCAGCUAUCUUAUGUAGUCCAUCUCUGCUGGCUUCAGUAACUGCUCCUAACCACACCAUUUUAACUCUGAAGGAAUGUGGAAAGCCUGCAUCACAGCUACACUGGAUGCUCAGCUCCAUUCCUUUUCCUCUUGAGUUUCUCUCUUGAAAGUCACACAGUUUUGUAGUUGAAGCAGUUUGUGUGCAUAUAAGCCUGCAUAUAAACACUUGAGUUAGUAAGUCAUUGAACUGCCCAGUACCAGAUGUGGCAAAUCUCAAGUGAUUGUGAACUCCUGGCUCGUCAACUCAUGCCCUCUUCCAUACCCUCAUGGCU
Molecule: long non-coding RNA, 322 nt
Filed under: Androctonus crassicauda
Lineage: Eukaryota; Metazoa; Arthropoda; Arachnida; Scorpiones; Buthidae
Source: RNAcentral